AUUGAACGCUGGCGGCAUGCUUUACACAUGCAAGUCGAACGAGUGGCGAACGGGUGAGUAAUAUAUCGGAACGUACCGAGGAAGGGGGGAAAACCAAUCGAAAGAUUGGCUAAUACCGCAUAUUAUUCGAGCGGCCGAUAAGUGAUUAGCUAGUUGGUGGGGUAACGGCCCACCAAGGCGACGAUCAGUAGCGGGUCUGAGAGGAGGAGCCGCCCCACGUGACCUGAGACACGGCCCAGACUCCUACGGGAGGCAGCAGUGGUGAAUUUUGGACAAUGGGGGCAACCCUGAUCCAGCCAUGCCGCGUGUUUGAAGAAGGUCUUCGGAUUGUAAAGCACUUUAAGUUGGGAGGCGUUACCAACAGAAUAAGCACCGGCUAACUUCGUGCCAGCCGCCGCGGUAAUAC
This 406-nucleotide ribosomal RNA is filed under the name uncultured bacterium. RNAcentral's name for it is "partial 16S ribosomal RNA". It matches the Rfam family "Bacterial small subunit ribosomal RNA", at positions 30 to 526 of the family's 1533-position model. The record is from RNAcentral.